This 728-nucleotide long non-coding RNA is filed under the name Lepisosteus oculatus (spotted gar). RNAcentral describes it as "lncRNA (ENSLOCG00000022415.1)". The record is from RNAcentral. Lineage: Eukaryota; Metazoa; Chordata; Actinopteri; Semionotiformes; Lepisosteidae.
UAAACACACAGGAGUGAGGACAGGCAGGCACAGUCCAGGGUCUUGGUCCAGUGAAACAAGGGUCAGAUCCUGGAAACAUACGAGUGAAGCAGGAGAAUCCAAAGUCAAGGAGGCAAACCGCUAAGAGUAAAGUACAGGGGAAAAUCCAGAAGAUUAGAUCAGGAUGGAGCAGGGUUGAAGCUAAGUAAACACAGAGGAGUUUACAGGCACAGUAACAGGCACAGGCGUGAUCUGGGAAUUAGGUGUAGUCAAGCCAGAUCAGGAAUCCAGAGGGAAACAGGUACUGCAGACUUGAGAGUCCAGAAGACUGUCAGAGCAGACUUAAAAUAACCUGACCCACCUGAUGCAAUCUGUCAGGUAAUCCAGGUUUCCUGUCUGAUUGCAUAUAUACUGAUUGACAGGAGGGGCAUGGUCAGCUGCUAUCACUCCAUGACACUACGUUCAUUUAGCUUAUUCUGAAUAUCAAUCCACUUAUUUAUCUGUUUUUCAGGGGACUUUUUCCCUCCACCCUCAGCAUUUGGAUGGAUGCUGACAUUCUUCCUAACAGUAGCUGUAACUAUAGGAGCAUCAGUACUUCUGCUGAUCCAGUGGAGAAGAAUGAACACAGAGGAGACACUGUGGGAAUCUGAAAUAUAUUAUAUCAAUGCAGUAAAUGGUGAGUAAAUUAAUGUGUUCUAUGUAUGCAUUUUGAAGUGUGUCCAGAUUAAAUAAUUUAAGUUUCUUCCUUU